RNAcentral lists this ribosomal RNA (500 nucleotides) under uncultured bacterium. RNAcentral's name for it is "bacterial SSU rRNA". It matches the Rfam family "Bacterial small subunit ribosomal RNA", at positions 28 to 562 of the family's 1533-position model. The record is from RNAcentral.
UUUGAACGCUGGCGGCAUGGCUAAAACAUGCAAAUCGAGCGCGAAAGAGGGGCAACCCUCAAGUAGAGCGGCGAAAGGGUGAGUAAUACGUUCCUACGUGCCUCAAGGUCAGGGAUAGCCAGGGGAAACUCUGGGUAAUACCUGAUGAGGUCGCGAGAUCAAAGGCUUGCCGACUUGAGAGCGGGGAACGUCCUAUCAGGUAGUUGGUGAGGUAACGGCUCACCAAGCCAAUGACGGGUAGCGGGUGUGAGAGCAUGGCCCGCCACAUCGAAACUGAGACACUGUUCGGACUCCUACGGGAGGCUGCAGUAACGAAUCUUCCGCAAUGCGCGAAAGCGUGACGGAGCAAAGCCGCGUGCAGGAUGAAGCCCUUCGGGGUGUAAACUGCUGUCAGGGUUUAGGAAGCAAGUGACCAAACCCAAAGGAAGAGACGACUAACUCUGUGCCAGCAGUCGCGGUAAUACAGAGGUCUCGAGCGUUAGACGGAGUCACUGGGUACG